UACGGAGGGUGCGAGCGUUAUCCGGAUUCACUGGGUUUAAAGGGUGCGUAGGUGGGGAUGUAAGUCAGUGGUGAAAUCUCCGUGCUUAACACGGAAACUGCCAUUGAUACUAUGUUUCUUGAAUUUUCUGGAGGUCAGCGGAAUAUGUCAUGUAGCGGUGAAAUGCUUAGAUAUGAGAUAGAACACCAAUUGCGAAGGCAGCCGGCUGGGCCGCAACUGACGCUGAGGCACGAAAGCGUGGGGAGCGAACAGG
RNAcentral lists this ribosomal RNA (253 nucleotides) under uncultured bacterium. RNAcentral describes it as "partial 16S ribosomal RNA". It matches the Rfam family "Bacterial small subunit ribosomal RNA", at positions 524 to 776 of the family's 1533-position model. The record is from RNAcentral.